Molecule: long non-coding RNA, 1010 nt
Filed under: Callithrix jacchus (white-tufted-ear marmoset)
Lineage: Eukaryota; Metazoa; Chordata; Mammalia; Primates; Cebidae
Description: lncRNA (ENSCJAG00000080450.1)
Rfam family: 7SK RNA (bases 826-1010)
Source: RNAcentral
GACUGCCCAGGCAAGCUAGCUCAGCGCAUCACUGAGAGAAAACUUGAAGACUCACUUAAAUGAUUGACCUAUUUCUGGGCUCUCUGUUGUUGCAAAUUACAAGAAUAUACUGUGUGCAUUUUCAGGGCAGAACCUCCAGGCUGGACCACCUGGCCAGGCACUUAGGACUCUAUGAGUCUGGUUCAUGGACAACACAGAUAAAAUGGCUCAAGGAGAAGCAAUGGAUCCUGUUUACUCGAGUCUCCGCUGUGUCACUUACCCAGAAAUCAGAGGCAGCAACAUUUCCAGGAAUAUAUGGGUUUCAGACAGAUCAGUAAGAAUGUCAAGCAGCAGGAAGAGAGAACACUGCAGGCUUCAGUUCAGUUGAGAAGAUUGAGGCAAGGAAGUCGGUGGUCAAAAAUACCCUCAUAGCCGUGAGAAAGUCCAUCUUGAUGUUAUCCAGUGAAACUUAAUGACAGCAAAGGAGCCAGGCAACCUGCUUAAUUUUGGAAAUGAAACUGUCAGGAGAGUUGAUGAGAAUUUGAAAAGAUACAACAAAGUAGAAUGCUAACACCAAUUCCAAACAAUUAUAAAGAAUCAUAAUAAAAGUUGCUAUGAAUAAAAUAUCUCAUAUUUAUCUCAUUUAUUUCUCACAAUAAUCUUUUUACUCCUGUCUGUAAUAGGAAGAAAUUAAAGCUCGGAGAAGUUCAAUACCUUGCCCAGAAUCUUUCUCUCUCUCUCUCUCUCUGUCACACACACACACACACACACACACACACACACACUAGUGAACAGCAUAGUCAACAUUUGAACACCAGUCUGCCUGAUUUCAAAGUCUAUGUAUUUGGUUGUGAGGGCGAUCUGGCUGUGACAUCUGCCACAUGUUGAUCACCAGGGUUGAUUCGACUGAUCUGGCUGGCUAGGCGGGUGUCCCCUUCCUCCCUUGCCACUCCACGUGUGUCCCACCCAAAGCCUCACACUCAGUCGAAGAGGACGACCAUCCCCAAUAGAAGAGGGCCAGUCUUCAGUGA